RNAcentral lists this long non-coding RNA (2215 nucleotides) under Pongo abelii (Sumatran orangutan). RNAcentral's name for it is "lincRNA". The record is from RNAcentral. Lineage: Eukaryota; Metazoa; Chordata; Mammalia; Primates; Hominidae.
AGAGAGAGCAGGAGAAUGAACACGGGGGAGACGCAGAGAAGCAACAGAGGCAUGACUGAUAAGGGCAGAGGAGGAAAGAAGGUCUCAGAGACCAGGGCAUGAAUGUAGUUGGACAGAGACAGGGAGAAGGAUGGGGAGAAAUGAGGAGCAGGAAGAAGAUUCCGAGAGAAAUAAAGAGGCCGAGAGGAGCUGAGCCAGGCAGCCGGUGGAGCAGGCAGAUGGAACAACAGAGACAAAGAACAGAGCCACGGAGUGGGCACACAGCAAGGCCUGGCAGCCAAGCCCUGUGGGUUUGGUGGGAGCAGAUGCUUAUAUGGGAGCAGCAGCUGAUGGCCCCCAGCACGUGCAUCCUUGUUGACUCCAGGCCCAGCACAGCCUCCUCGGCAGCCGGCCUUAGCCUGGAGGAGCAACCGUGGUCCAGAGAGGCAGACGAAUGGCGGCCCUGCCCCGUGGGGGCUCCAGUUCUUCUCCAUCCUCCUCCAGGCUCCGCCCACCUGCUCCGUCUGCAUCCCAGGGCCUCGUGAAUCCCAGGGAAGCCAUGAGCUGCCACAUCACGCCCGGAAGGAAGCAGGCUGCGUUGGAGGGUAAAAGACGCACCAGCAACUUAGAAUUCGGGGCACUGCAGAGCUGGAAGGGGCCUCAGCGCUGCUCCCUCCGCCCCCUCAUUUCACAAACCAGAAAGCUGAGACCCAAAGCAAGGAAGGGACUCGGCCAAGUUGAAGAGAUGAAGGCGCAGAGGCAUGAACUCCCAUAACCAGAGAGUGUGAGCUGGACUCUACCUGGAGCAGCCUGGGUGCAGAGCCCAUGCCCCCAACCAUGUCCAUGGCCAAGGCCCAGCCCAGACAGGGCACAAAGGGGCUGAGGAAGAGGAAGUAAGAUGCCAGGGUUGCCAUGCAGGAAGGCAGCCCCGAGUGAGAUGGGCAUCGUGGCCUAGGGCCCACCUUCUGGAAGAGCUCAUCAGAACUUCGGACACACUACAUGGGCCUAGACCCAGGGCUCGUUGAGCCCCUCCCUCGGAUUGGCGUCGAAUUUUAGGUGAAUCCGCUCUAGCUGCCACAUUUACCCUUGUAAGCCUACACUUUGUCGUCUUCUGAAAAGGUGCAGGAACAUGAUGCCCAGCUGACUCCCAGGGAGCGGGAGCCCCAGAGGCCAGCGGAGCACAGCCGCAGCAGGCAGAUCUGUUGGGAAACCACGGGAGUAUAGGAGCAGGGCUGGGGGCACCUGAGGGCCUGUGGAGCCCGAGUUAUUGAAACGCUUAGAGUAAAGCAGAUUUAGAUUUCACAAAGACAGAGGUGAAGGUGGGUGAAGACGGAGGGAAGGAUUUAAAGGGAAAGAGAAAGAGAAAAGAUAGGAAUGAGGGAGAAAGAGGAAGAGAGAAAGAAAAAGAGAAAUAGAGUUAUCGAAGAUGACUGCCAGACUGGCGUCUCUCAACUCAAGGAGCCAAGGAGGGGAAGGCCGGUCUGAGCAGCAAUGUAGACAAGAGCUCAGGAGCUCAGGCGGGCAAGAACAGAGCCCUGGCUUCAGCAAGAGCGUGGGGAACAGAGGGCAAGGGGGUCCAUGCAGCCCAGGAUGGCAGGGUGCUCAUACACACAGCCUUGGUCCUGUCCCCUCUCCCAUUGCCACUUUUGAGCUCACCUUGUUUAAGACCAAAGCACACGCCAUCCUCCCACAGAGCCACUAAUGCAAUUAACAAAACACAUUCAUAAAUCUUGCAUGGCGUCCGGAGCUGUCUCCUCUCCCUAAGCACAAGGGCCAGCUCCGGAGAUGCUGUGCAGAGAGCUGUCUGACCUCUCCAGCGUCAGGGCCCCCUGAAAAACGCAGCAUAACCCUUAGUAGGACAGAAAGACCAUUCUCUUCUGCCAACCAUUACAAAGUGGAGUGGGGCUGGGGUCAGGAAACACAGACAAAUCAGAAGAGGCUGAGAAGGCGGAGAUGAAAGUGCAUACGCGUUUGCAGGGAGCUGGGGAAUAGUUCGUGCCUUCCAAGCUCAACAAGAGAGCAUUCAGCAGAGACCAGAGAAUCACCACUUUUGGAGGGUGAUUUUACCUUGUGAGAACAGAGCACAGGGUGCGUGGGACCCAGGGCAUCUUCGGCAAUGCAGGCAUGACUUGGCGGGAUGUCAGUGUUUGUGUUUGCAUGUGUGUGUACGUGCGUGCGUGCAUGCUCAGUCUGGAAAACUGGUGACUCACUAAAACACGGAGCUUUCUGAUCUGAA